UACGGAGGGUGCAAGCGUUAUCCGGAUUCACUGGGUUUAAAGGGUGCGUAGGUGGGCAAGUAAGUCAGUGGUGAAAUCUCCGGGCUUAACCCGGAAACUGCCAUUGAUACUAUUUGUCUUGAAUACUGUGGAGGUCAGCGGAAUAUGUCAUGUAGCGGUGAAAUGCUUAGAUAUGACAUAGAACACCAAUUGCGAAGGCAGCUGGCUACACAAAUAUUGACACUGAUGCACGAAAGCGUGGGGAUCAAACAGG
RNAcentral lists this ribosomal RNA (253 nucleotides) under uncultured bacterium. Its description in RNAcentral is "partial 16S ribosomal RNA". It matches the Rfam family "Bacterial small subunit ribosomal RNA", at positions 524 to 776 of the family's 1533-position model. The record is from RNAcentral.